RNAcentral lists this non-coding RNA (191 nucleotides) under Bacteroidia bacterium. Lineage: Bacteria; Pseudomonadati; Bacteroidota; Bacteroidia. The record is from RNAcentral.
CAUUUCUUCAACCGGUAAGGUGCCCCCUAAAAAGGGAUAAUAGGGAACCACGUGAAAAUCGUGGACUGUCGCGCAACUGUAAGCACGGCCAAAGUUUCCGCCCAUAACAAUCCACUGUCCCGAUCAAUCGGGGUGGGAAGGAUGGCGGAAAUCGUGCAAGUCAGGAGACCUGCCUUAAUGUGGAUUGACAA